RNAcentral lists this ribosomal RNA (441 nucleotides) under uncultured bacterium. Its description in RNAcentral is "partial 16S ribosomal RNA". It matches the Rfam family "Bacterial small subunit ribosomal RNA", at positions 338 to 795 of the family's 1533-position model. The record is from RNAcentral.
CCUACGGGUGACAGCAGUGGGGAAUAUUGCACAAUGGGGGGAACCCUGAUGCAGCGACGCCGCGUGGGUGAAGGAGCGUUUCGGCGCGUAAAGCCCUAUCGGCAGGGAAGAAGAAGGACGGUACCUGACGAAGAAGCCCCGGCGAACUACGUGCCAGGAGCCGCGGUAAUCCGUAGGGGGCAAGCGUUAGCCGGAUUUACUGGGUGUAAAGGGGGCGCAGACGGCAGCGCAAGCCAGGGGGGAAAGCCCGGGGCCCAACCCCCGGACUGCUCUUGGAACUGCGCGGCUGGAGUGCAGGAGGGGCAGGCGGAAUUCCUGGUGUAGCGGUGAAAUGCGUAGAUAUCAGGAGGAACACCGGUGGCGAAGGCGGCCUGCUGGACUGCGACUGACGUUGAGGCCCGAAAGCGUGGGGAGCAAACAGGAUUAGAUACCCUUGUAGUC